Molecule: ribosomal RNA, 293 nt
Filed under: uncultured microorganism
Description: partial 16S ribosomal RNA
Rfam family: Bacterial small subunit ribosomal RNA
Source: RNAcentral
GUGCCAGCAGCCGCGGUAAUACGUAGGGUCCGAGCGUUGUCCGGGAAUUAUUGGGCGUAAAGGGCUCGUAGGCGGUUUGUCGCGUCGGGAGUGAAAACCAGGUGCUUAACACCUGGCUUGCUUCCGAUACGGGCAGACUAGAGGUAUGCAGGGGAGAAUGGAAUUCCUGGUGUAGCGGUGAAAUGCGCAGAUAUCAGGAGGAACACCGGUGGCGAAGGCGGUUCUCUGGGCAUUACCUGACGCUGAGGAGCGAAAGUGUGGGGAGCGAACAGGAUUAGAUACCCUGGUAGUCC